Molecule: ribosomal RNA, 279 nt
Filed under: uncultured bacterium
Lineage: Bacteria
Description: partial 16S ribosomal RNA
Rfam family: Bacterial small subunit ribosomal RNA
Source: RNAcentral
UGCCAGCAGCCGCGGUAAUACGUACCGGACAAAUGUUAUUCGGAAUCACUGGGCUUAAAGAGUACGUAGGCUGUCUUGUAGGUGAGGUGUGAAAUCCCACGGCCCAACCGUGGAACUGCGCUUCAAACCACAAGACUUGAGGGAGACAGGGGUGAGCGGAACUGAUGGUGGAGCGGUGAAAUGCGUUGAUAUCAUCAGGAACACCGGUGGCGAAAGCGGCUCUCUGGGUCUCUUCUGACGCUGAGGGACGAAAGCUGGGGGAGCAAACAGGAUUAGAUA